RNAcentral lists this unclassified non-coding RNA (2451 nucleotides) under Leishmania donovani. RNAcentral's name for it is "gene:LdHU3.25.1780(CDS-product:Surp_module_putati ve)". The record is from RNAcentral. Lineage: Eukaryota; Euglenozoa; Kinetoplastea; Trypanosomatida; Trypanosomatidae.
ACAGACAGACAGACGCAUAUACAUACACACGUGCACGUAUACGUCCAUCAUCCUCGGGGAGUCUGUGAGACGUCGCAGACACCACCACCACCGUCGCCAGCAGAGGUGAGUGCGCCUACGCUUCUUGCUGCUCCUUUGCCGCGGUGGACGUCUCGGCUCAUCUCGCUCGCCUCAUCCGACGCACACAGAGGCAAGUGUGCGUCUGCGUGUGUGGUUGUGUAUGCUGUCAGCGAGAAGACAAGCGGAAGUUGUUCUCGUGUAUGUUUUCUCUCCCUCCCCCGAGUGGUUCUCGAGCAUCUCACCAGCAGUCCUACCCCCUUCCCUCGGUGCGUGGCUCUCCAGUAGUCCCUCCCCCCGCCCCUCCCCCCUCAGCAGGUGCGUGCGGUUCUCUUCUUUCGUCUCUUCUCUACCACCGGCGAGCGUCGCACAGCACACAACCAGCUCGAUCGGCAGGGGACGAUGGAGAACGAGGAGGCGCUCCCGACGAUCGUCACUCCGGGCCCGGAGCUGCGGGAGAAGGUGGAUGCCUUCGCCGCGCGCCUCAGCGCCUUGGAUCGGCGCAAGGCGGAUGAGAUGGUGGCUAAGCUGCUCGCCUCGAGCAAGCGUAAUCAGUUCCUUUUCGUGGACACGUCGCACAUAUUUUACCCCUACUUUCUUAGCAAGCUGACGGAGUUUCGCCAGCACCCGGAGCUGCGGCCGCAGAAGCCGGGUGAGCACAAGGACAGAGACGGCGCGGCAGGCAGCGAUAAGGGGGCGGCGACGAUGACGAAGGUUGGCACCAUCACUCGCACGAUGGGCGGUACCGCCGGCGCCAAGAGCGACCCGCAGCGCGAGGAGCUGCUGCGUCAGACCGAGGCAGAGGCUCGUCGAUACCUCGAGGAUCCGUUUCCGAACCACUACUCUUUGGAUCGGAAGGCCGGCACCGUGGAUGUGACGGCCCUGCUGAUGGACGUGCUGUCGACGACAGCUCAAUACACCGCCAAGUACGGCGACAGGUUCCUCGCUGCCGUACAGAGCAAGCAGCGACACAACCCCAUGUUCCACUUUCUCCACGAGGACGACGUGCGACACGACAUGUUCCGCAAGCUCGUCGAGUCCUACCGUCGCAUCUUGGCCUUUGAUGAGGAGGAGACGGAGACGCGGCUGGAGAACUUGGAGUCGCAGUCGUACCUACUGGGCACAGUAUGCGAGGAGAAGAAGAAGUAUGCCAAGGCUGCCCUGGCUCGCCGACGAGCCGCGCUGCUGACGGAUGAGGAGCUGCGCGGGCGUCUGCAGUGGACGCUUUUCUCGGUGGUCAAGACAUUUCGGUUGAGCGACUUGCAGCUGGAUGGGCCGGUGCCCGAGACAGCAGCGUCGAAGCAGCACGCAGCCCAGGCAGCGAAUGCGAAUUUCAUUUCACCUGCGCUCACCUCGACGUCCAAGCCGUGUGCAACGGGAGCGGAGGCUCCUCCAUCUGUGCCCCCUGCUGCUGCUGCAAGCGGCGGGCUAACCACUGCCCGUGCCAAUACCCUGCUGCACCCUCCUGGUGUGGCAUCGCCGUCGUUUGCACCGGUGUAUAUGAGCUCCACCCUGGUGAAGGGCACCGGGAGCAACGGAAAGCGACCGCGAGAGCGAGGCGGGCCGAGGGAGGCUCAGGGACAAAGUUGAGUGCUGUCUCCCUCGCCGCAUCUCCUCUCGUCGAAGAGAGGGUGAGGGGGUGGGGACAUGACGGGAUAGAGGGAGAGAGUACGCGCGUGCCUGCGCCGCUUGUCGAGUUGUCAUAUGGAGUAAGUGAGUGUCUGUGCGCGUGAGUCUGGAGCUUCCUGUCCCACUCUGGUCUUGAAAUCCUAAAAAACACACACGCAUACACACACAUAGGCAAAAGGAAGGACACCCUCACUGUGGCAUCCGAAGGUACAGCGCACCCUUUUCCCUCCCGGUGCGAGCGUGCGUCGCCUUUACCUAUUUUCCUCACACCAUCCAGCGUGCUGAUGAAAAGGUUGGGGCCGCCUCCGGGCGUGGUACAUCAUGGCCGCGUGCACCCCCCUCCAUCCUCUCUGCGGGGAAGCCAGGCAGCCCCUCCCCCUAUCCCUGUCAGUGCCGGACCACCCCUCGUGGUGCCAGGGUCAGGUACCUACGACGUAGCGAAGUCAGAGCGAUUUAUCGCUACGGGUGUCGGCGGUCAUGUCCUGGAUGGCGCUGCGUGGGGGAGGCCUGCAGCUGUGAAGGUGUUUGUGCGAACCAUAUGAUGGGCAGUAUGCCGCCCUGACCCGAACGUAUCUCACCCGGCCCUCACCGCGCCCUGACUCGGGGAGCCCGAGGCGCCCGGAGGGAUGCGCGACGUGGCGACCGGGCACAAGGCGAGCGGCCGUGAGGGGCGACCUUGCGGGGCGGGGAGGGCGGGUAGAGGGUCUGGGGCGGAGGCCGCGCUUCGCUGACUGGGUCGGCGCAUUUCUGCAGCGGCGCGUGUCU